GCGCGAAAACUUUACAAUGCUGGCAACAGCGAUAAGGGAACCUCGAGUGCCAGGUUACAAAUCUGGCUGUCGAGAUGCCUAAAAAGCAUUUCAUGGCAAGGGCCGGGCAAGACCGGUGCCAGCCGCCGCGGUAACACCGGCGGCUCGAGUGGUAACCGUUAUUAUUGGGUCUAAAGGGUCUGUAGCCGGCCGGAUAAGUCUCUUGAGAAAUCUGGCAGCUUAACUGUCAGGCUUUCAGGAGAUACUGUCUGGCUCGAGGCCGGGAGAGGUGAGAGGUACUUCAGGGGUAGGGGUGAAAUCUUGUAAUCCUUGAAGGACCACCAGUGGCGAAGGCGUCUCACCAGAACGGACCUGACGGCAAGGGACGAAAGCUAGGGGCACGAACCG
This 387-nucleotide ribosomal RNA is filed under the name uncultured bacterium. RNAcentral describes it as "bacterial SSU rRNA". It matches the Rfam family "Archaeal small subunit ribosomal RNA", at positions 339 to 726 of the family's 1478-position model. The record is from RNAcentral.